This 498-nucleotide ribosomal RNA is filed under the name uncultured bacterium. Its description in RNAcentral is "partial 16S ribosomal RNA". It matches the Rfam family "Bacterial small subunit ribosomal RNA", at positions 30 to 523 of the family's 1533-position model. The record is from RNAcentral.
AUUGAACGCUGGCGGCAUGCUUUACACAUGCAAGUCGAACGGCAGCGCGGGGCAACCUGGCGGCGAGUGGCGAACGGGUGAGUAAUACAUCGGAACGUACCCAGAAGUGGGGGAUAACGUAGCGAAAGUUACGCUAAUACCGCAUACGUUCUACGGAAGAAAGUGGGGGACCUUCGGGCCUCAUGCUUUUGGAGCGGCCGAUGUCUGAUUAGCUAGUUGGUAGGGUAAAGGCCUACCAAGGCGACGAUCAGUAGCUGGUCUGAGAGGACGACCAGCCACACUGGGACUGAGACACGGCCCAGACUCCUACGGGAGGCAGCAGUGGGGAAUUUUGGACAAUGGGCGCAAGCCUGAUCCAGCAAUGCCGCGUGAGUGAAGAAGGCCUUCGGGUUGUAAAGCUCUUUUGUCAGGGAAGAAACGGCGAUUUCUAAUAAAGAUUGCUAAUGACGGUACCUGAAGAAUAAGCACCGGCUAACUACGUGCCAGCCGCCGCCGUAA